GAAAUGCGAUAAGUAAUGUGAAUUGCAGAAUUCAGUGAAUCAUCGAAUCUUUGAACGCACCUUGCGCUCCUUGGCAUUCCGAGGAGCAUGCCUGUUUGAGUGUCGUUGAAUCUAUCUCAGAACGACUGGGGAUUGGUGGAGGAUGCAUUGCGGUCACGUUAGUUGUUAUGUUACCCUUUGCUUCUCUGAAAUGGAUUGGCGUUGCGGCUGUGCCCAGUGGUCGGUAUGAUACAUGUCUUACCUGCUUUCAACUCGUGCCAGCCCAGCCAGGCCGAGACGACGAUGGUCUGUCUCACACAAUUUUGACCUCAAAUCAGGCAGGACUACCCGCUGAACUUAA
This 340-nucleotide unclassified non-coding RNA is filed under the name uncultured fungus. Its description in RNAcentral is "sequence contains ITS1". The stretch from base 1 to 105 matches the Rfam family "5.8S ribosomal RNA", at positions 50 to 154 of the family's 154-position model. The record is from RNAcentral. Lineage: Eukaryota; Fungi.